This 269-nucleotide ribosomal RNA is filed under the name uncultured prokaryote. Its description in RNAcentral is "partial 16S ribosomal RNA". It matches the Rfam family "Bacterial small subunit ribosomal RNA", at positions 524 to 792 of the family's 1533-position model. The record is from RNAcentral.
UACGUAGGGGACGAGCGUUGUCCGGAAUUAUUGGGCGUAAAGAGCGCGCAGGUGGUUGAUUAAGUCUGAUGUGAAAGCCCACGGCUUAACCGUGGAGGGUCAUUGGAAACUGGUCGACUUGAGUGCAGAAGAGGGAAGUGGAAUUCCAUGUGUAGCGGUGAAAUGCGUAGAGAUAUGGAGGAACACCAGUGGCGAAGGCGGCUUCCUGGUCUGUAACUGACACUGAGGCGCGAAAGCGUGGGGAGCAAACAGGAUUAGAUACCCGGGUA